Molecule: ribosomal RNA, 367 nt
Filed under: uncultured bacterium
Lineage: Bacteria
Description: bacterial SSU rRNA
Rfam family: Bacterial small subunit ribosomal RNA
Source: RNAcentral
UAACGUAGUGAAAGUUACGCUAAUACCGCAUAUUCUGUGAGCAGGAAAGAGGGGAUCGCAAGACCUCUUGCUUUAGGAGCGGCCGAUGUCGGAUUAGCUAGUUGGUGAGGUAAAGGCUCACCAAGGCGACGAUCCGUAGCGGGUCUGAGAGGAUGAUCCGCCACACUGGGACUGAGACACGGCCCAGACUCCUACGGGAGGCAGCAGGUGGGAAUUUGGACAAUGGGCGCAAGCCUGAUCCAGCCAUGCCGCGUGAGUGAAGAAGGCCUUCGGGUUGUAAAGCUUCUUUCGGUGGGGAAGAAAUUGCUUCGGUUAAUACCUGGAGUAGAUGACGGUACCCGCAUAAGAAGCACCGGCUAACUACGUG